AUCGCUUCUUGGCCUUCUGGCAAAAACCAAGUGUAGUAUCUGUUCUUAUCAUUUUAAUAUAUGAUAUGUCCUCUAUCCGAGAACAUUAUACUAAAUGGAUUUUUGGAGCUGGGAGAUGGAAUAGGAGCCUGCUCCAUCCACUCCGCACAUUGACCCGGUAUUGCAGUACUUCCAGGAAUGGCACACCAAGA
Molecule: small nuclear RNA, 191 nt
Organism: Phyllostomus hastatus (greater spear-nosed bat)
Lineage: Eukaryota; Metazoa; Chordata; Mammalia; Chiroptera; Phyllostomidae
Product: U2 spliceosomal RNA
Exons: 1
Source: RefSeq, a predicted model, not a curated record